Molecule: long non-coding RNA, 1297 nt
Organism: Balaenoptera ricei (Rice's whale)
Lineage: Eukaryota; Metazoa; Chordata; Mammalia; Artiodactyla; Balaenopteridae
Exons: 4
Source: RefSeq, a predicted model, not a curated record
CUGGCCUCUGUGUUUAAUGCGUCCCCUUCUGCCGAAGGUUAGGCAGGAUCUGGGAGAUGCCGUGACUGACCGAGGCUGGGAUGGGACGGACCAAGGGGGCAGGAGGCCCGGGUCCCUGUGGUCGCCACCCCAACUUCCCCCAGGGAUCUCCAGCUGCCUGAAGCCUCAGAGGGUGUUCAUCAGACGCCCGCACAGGCCUGAGGCUCGCCUCUCUGCUCUGGGCUCACCCAUUGCUGUCGCCUGGCAGGAACCAAAGCACAGUGGGCUGCCUGCACCAGGGGCUGGGAGGCCACGCUCCCCAGAGCAGUGGCCGCUGCUAGUGGAAGGCAGCGUCCCCCCCAAGGACCUGCUCGCUGACCCGGGGCAGGGGUCUCCAGUGGUUCCCCCAAGAGGCCUCCGUGUCCCCAGGACAUGCCCAUCCGUCCUCAGCCGGACCACCUGCAGGGCCCUGGGAGCCCGGGCAACAUGGCGUCUGGAGACACUGGGCUCACACGGUGGAGACACGGAGGGAGACGCUGAAUAUUCAUCGCCGAAGUGGACAUCCUCGCUCCCUACCCAGUCCUGGUGGGAGGACCCUGUCUUUCUCCAUCAAGCACGGUGUUGGCCGUACCUGCUGGGAGUUCGCUGGUAGGCCCAGCUCCUGCUAGAGAGCCCGGCGGUCACUGCCCCCAGGGAAGAGGUCUUCUGACCGGAAGGUAAGGGGCGGUCCGGGCCGUGGUCCUGGGGGGGAGCCCCAUUCUCCAGGAGCAGGUGGAGGAGCCCCGAGGGCCCCAGCCCUGCUCGGACUUUCCAGAGCCCUCACCUCACCCCCAAACGCCUGCGGCCAGAGCAACCACACGGGCACCGUGACAGCAGCAGCCCCUGGGUUUGAGCAGCACCUGGCCCCUCCCGUCCGGUCUUCACAGAACACCUGUCAGGAAGGACGUGCACCCAUCUGCUCCAGGUCCCCGACGCCAGCUGUGGAGAGUGACUGGCAGAGCCCCACCUUCCUGGCUUAGUAAAUGCAGCCUUUACACAUUCGCUUUAAAAAAAACAAACAGGGGCUUCCCUGGUGGCGCAGUGGUUGAGAAUCUGCCUGCCAAUGCAGGGGACACGGGUUCGAGCCCUGGUCUGGGAAGAUCCCACGUGCCACGGAGCAACUGGGCCCGUGAGCCACAACUACUGAGCCUGCGCCUCUGUAGCCUGUGCUCCGCAACAAGAGAGGCCGCGAUAGUGAGAGGCCCGCGCACCGCGAUGAAGAGUGGCCCCCACUUGCCGCAACUAGAGAAAGCCCUCGCACAGAGACGAAGACCCAACA